AGAGUUUGAUCAUGGCUCAGGAUGAACGCUGGCGGUAUGCCUAACACAUGCAAGUUGAACGGAAGCUUUCCAAGCUUUAGUAGCGGACGGGUGAGUAACGCGUGAGAAUUUACCUCUAGGAGGGGAACAACAGUUAGAAAUGACUGCUAAUGCCCCAUAUGCUUUAAUAGUGAAAUGGAUUUAUUCGCCUGGAGAGAAGCUCGCGUCUGAUUAGCUAGUUGGUGAGGUAAUGGCUCACCAAGGCGACGAUCAGUAGCUGGUUUGAGAGGAUGAUCAGCCACACUGGAACUGAGACACGGUCCAGACUCCUACGGGAGGCAGCAGUGGGGAAUUUUCUGCAAUGGGCGAAAGCCUGACAGAGCAAUACCGCGUGAGGGAUGAAGGCUCGUGGGUCGUAAACCUCUUUUAUCAGGGAGGAAGUUCUGACGUGUACCUGAUGAAUAAGCAUCGGCUAACUCCGUGCCAGCAGCCGCGGUAAGACGGAGGAUGCAAGUGUUAUCCGGAAUCACUGGGCGUAAAGCGUCUGUAGGUGGUUUAGUAAGUCUAUUGUUAAAUCUUGAGGCUCAACUUCAAAUCAGCAAUGGAAACUGCUAGACUCGAGUAUGGUAGAGGUAAGGGGAAUUUCCAGUGGAGCGGUGAAAUGCGUAGAUAUUGGAAAGAACACCGAUGGCGAAGGCACCUUACUGGGCCAUUACUGACACUCAGAGACGAAAGCUAGGGUAGCAAAUGGGAUUAGAUACCCCAGUAGUCCUAGCAGUAAACGAUGGAUACUAGAUGUUGCCCGUAUCAACCCGUGCAGUGUCAAAGCUAACGCGUUAAGUAUCCCGCCUGGGAAGUAUGCUCGCAAGAGUGAAACUCAAGGAAUUGACGGGGGCCCGCACAGCGU
This 886-nucleotide ribosomal RNA is filed under the name uncultured bacterium. RNAcentral's name for it is "bacterial SSU rRNA". It matches the Rfam family "Bacterial small subunit ribosomal RNA", at positions 8 to 932 of the family's 1533-position model. The record is from RNAcentral.